RNAcentral lists this ribosomal RNA (1733 nucleotides) under metagenome. Its description in RNAcentral is "bacterial LSU rRNA". It matches the Rfam family "Bacterial large subunit ribosomal RNA", at positions 774 to 2520 of the family's 2925-position model. The record is from RNAcentral.
CCGCACCAAUAAGCGUUGAAAAGCUUCUGGAUGAGCUGAGGGUAGGGGUGAAAGGCUAAUCAAACUUGGAGAUAGCUCGUACUCCCCGAAAUGCAUUUAGGUGCAGCCUUGCGGGUUACUGAUGUGAGGUAGAGCGACUGAUUGGAUGCGAGGGCUUCACCGCCUAUCAAGUCCUGACAAACUCCGAAUGCGCAUCAGUUCUACCGCAGGAGUGAGGGCAUGGGUGCUAAGGUCCGUGCCCGAGAGGAGAAGAAUCCGGACCACCGGCUAAGGUCCCGAAAUGACAGCUAAGUUAAACUAACGAAGUCUGAUUGCUAAGACAGCUAGGAUGUUGGCUUGGAAGCAGCCAUUCAUUUAAAGAGUGCGUAACAGCUCACUAGUCGAGGAAUCGGGCGUGGAUAAUAAUCGGGUAUGAAGUUGUCUACCGAAGCCGUGGGAUCAGCAAUGAUCGGUAGGGGAGCAUUCCAUUCCGCGUCGAAGGCGUGGCGUGAGCCAUUCUGGAGCGUAUGGAAAAGCAAAUGUAGGUAUAAGUAACGAUAAAGGGGGUGAGAAACCCCCUCGCCGAAAGACUAAGGUUUCCUGAUCAACGCUAAUCGGAUCAGGGUCAGUCGGGUCCUAAGGCUCAGCCGAACGGCGAGGCCGAUGGCAGAAACGGUUAAUAUUCCGUUACUACCUUUGAGGGUGACGUGGGGAAGCAGUAGUGACACUGCCGCGGGCUGACGGAAUAGCCCGUUAAAGAGUGUAGGCGUUGAUUUCCGCAGGCAAAUCCACGGAAAGAGCCGAACUUGACAGUAUGGAGCGUCCUUCGGGACAAUCCAACAGCGCAGGUAAUCAGACUGCCGAGAAAAUCCGCUAAACAUAACUUCAGAGGUACCCGUACCGCAAACGGACACACGUAGUCGGGUUGAAUAUACUAAGGCGCUUGGGUGAAUCACGGUUAAGGAACUAGGCAAACUGACCCUGUAACUUCGGGAUAAAGGGUCCCUCCUCGCAAGAGAGGGCGCAGAGAAUAGGUCCAGGCAACUGUUUAACAAAAACACAGGGCUGUGCGAAUAUGAAAGUAGAAGUAUACAGCCUGACACCUGCCCGGUGCUGGAAGGUUAAGAGGAGAUGUCAUCGCAAGAGAAGCAUUGAAUUGAAGCCCCAGUAAACGGCGGCCGUAACUAUAACGGUCCUAAGGUAGCGAAAUUCCUUGUCGGGUAAGUUCCGACCUGCACGAAUGGUGUAAUGAUCCGGACGCUGUCUCAACCGUGAGCCCAGUGAAAUUGUAGUAUCGGUGAAGAUGCCGAUUACCCGCGAUGGGACGAAAAGACCCCGUGAACCUUUACUAUAGCUUAGCAUUGAAUUUGGGCACGCGAUGUGUAGGAUAGGUCGGAGGCUUUGAAGCAGGCACGCCAGUGUUUGUGGAGCCGCUGUUGAAAUACGACCCUUUGUUUGUUUGAAUUCUAACUCUUGGUAAGAGGACAUUGCUUGGUGGGUAGUUUGACUGGGGUGGUCGCCUCCAAAAGCGUAACGGAGGCUUCUAAAGGUGCCCUCAGGACGAUCGGUAACCGUCCGCAGAGUGUAAUGGCAUAAGGGCGCUUGACUGGGAGACAGACAAGUCGAGCAGGUAGGAAACUAGAGCAUAGUGAUCCGGUGUUUCCGUAUGGAAGGGACAUCGCUCAAAGGAUAAAAGGUACUCCGGGGAUAACAGGCUGAUCCCUCCCAAGAGCUCAUAUCGACGGAGUGGUUUG